RNAcentral lists this small nuclear RNA (18 nucleotides) under Arabidopsis thaliana (thale cress). Its description in RNAcentral is "snRNA_07076". The record is from RNAcentral. Lineage: Eukaryota; Viridiplantae; Streptophyta; Magnoliopsida; Brassicales; Brassicaceae.
UUCUCCUAAGGGAGGAAC